RNAcentral lists this ribosomal RNA (219 nucleotides) under uncultured bacterium. RNAcentral describes it as "partial 16S ribosomal RNA". It matches the Rfam family "Bacterial small subunit ribosomal RNA", at positions 524 to 742 of the family's 1533-position model. The record is from RNAcentral.
UACGUAGGGCGCAAGCGUUGUCCGGAAUUAUUGGGCGUAAAGAGCUCGUAGGCGGUUUGUCGCGUCUGCUGUGAAAACCUAAGGCUCAACCUUGGGCUUGCAGUGGGUACGGGCAGACUAGAGUGCGGUAGGGGUGACUGGAAUUCCUGGUGUAGCGGUGGAAUGCGCAGAUAUCAGGAGGAACACCGGUGGCGAAGGCGGGUCUCUGGGCAGUAACUG